This 1242-nucleotide long non-coding RNA is filed under the name Cyanistes caeruleus (blue tit). RNAcentral's name for it is "lncRNA (ENSCCEG00000020362.1)". The record is from RNAcentral. Lineage: Eukaryota; Metazoa; Chordata; Aves; Passeriformes; Paridae.
UUUUGCUAAUACUUCACUUGAAGUAAAAGACCUGUCAGCAUCAUCAUCUCCUAAAUCCUGUGUAUAUUAAAAAAAAUAAAAUGAAACCAAUCUCAAAGGAAACUAGGGCAUAUCAAAAACCUCUCUGCAUCCUGCUUCAUUUGUGUAAUCUUCAAGAGGAGUUUUGUUAGUCAUUUGUGUUGUCAUUAUAGAAGUUAGGAAAAGGUCCUUUUACUGCCUGGGUUGUUAGAGAGGCCUUUCAAAAAUUCUAAUGAAGUAUGCUCUGAACUGUUGACAUCUUGUGUGGAGUCAGAGUGCUUCUGAGAUAAUACAUGAAAGUCAGAGCACAAAAGCAACUCUUUCCAGGCCUGGUGCUUGGAGGAACAAUGGAUAAAGCAAUCUAUAGUGGUGGUGUACUUUCUGUCUCUUAGCAAUCUUGCCAAUCCAUUAAUAACCAGACAGGCCUUACACUUCAAGGGUCUUUAAAAAACCAAACCACUAAGUUGUUUCUAGAUAUUUCAUUCCCACUCAACACUCUUAAGGUUUGUAGUUUCCUGCAGGAAUCAGGUGUAUUUUUAAGAAAAGAUCUGAUUUUCCAUGAGUGUGAAUCUGUCAGAGAUGAGAUUAGGUCGGUCGUGUGUUGGCAGCAUUGAAAACCACCCUUGACUAUAAGAAGUGUUCUGCUCUCCUGGCAGAAGACUGGAUCCUGUGGCAGUUUAUGUGUGUGCUUAAUACUAAACAUUGUGGGUGAUUCUGUUGAUGUAAGGGAUAGUAGUCCAGUGCAGGGUAAAAGUAGGGGUGCAUGUGUACUGAAGAUCAAGAGAGGGCUGCAAGUAACCAAGAACUGCACUGGGAAAUGGUUUAAGAAAAAUAAGAAAUUUUAGCACCAAAGAAAAUGACUGCAUAAAAGAUGAAUUAACUGUAGUUUUCACAGUAGGUAGGGCUGGGUGAGUAGUUGUAAUUAUUUUGGCAGAUACAUUGUUACCCUGCUAUAAUUUUGCUUUCAGGAUCAUACUGUGGCUUCAUUGCUGUAGACGAAUUUGUAUCCCUACUUCAGAACAGCUGUUAGAUGAGCAAGAAUUUCCUCAGCUGAACGCACACUGGAAGCAAACUUGGCUCUGGAAAGGCAGCAAUAGAAAAUGUAAAAACAAACCCAGAAAGGAAGUAAAUGAAGCCAAAGGGAGAGCAGGGUAGUUUUGGGUAAUGAACAGUAAAAGAAUGAUGUGGAACUUAAGGAAGAAGUGUAAUGAAAGGGCACAAAAG